Camellia sinensis is the source of this 813-nucleotide non-coding RNA. Lineage: Eukaryota; Viridiplantae; Streptophyta; Magnoliopsida; Ericales; Theaceae. The record is from RefSeq and is a predicted model, not a curated record.
GUUUGGUUUACUUUCAAUCUUUUAAAUUGAAAGUAAAAAGAGUGUUUGAAGGGGAAGGGUUUCAAAUGGGGAUCUCUCUUCAACGGCGAGACUAGUUCGAUGGUACAACAAGACUGGUUCGGUGGUGGCAACGAUCGACGAGACUGGCAGCAGGUGAAUGGUUUACAGCCCGAGUCUCUGCUUGUGGACUAUUUCAUAUUGCUUACCCUAGUUCCUCAGAGAUGUUAAAGACAGAAUUACGGUCUAUAUACAGCUAGUUGUGUCAGGAUGACAUGCCUAUGGUGAGGAGGUCUGCUGCAACAAACUUGGGGAAGUUUGCUGCAACUGUUGAACCUGCUCAUCUCAAGACUGACGUCAUGUCAAUAUUUGAGGGUCUUACACAGGAUGAUGCAAACCUUUUGAGUACGUGAUAUCUUCGCAUAUCGAUAUGGGAGCUUACAAUUGAUAUCAAAACAAGUUACAUUAUAUCUGUUUUUAUUUUUUUAUUUUUUUAUUUCUAUUGUCGAUACUAAAAAUUUGAGUUCUUGAAUUUCAAAAAUUAUUAGUAUUGUUAGAGGUUAUUUUAUAUAUUUUUGUAAAUAAUAUUUGAUUGACAAUUGUUACAAGGUAUAUAUAUUAUUCUUGGUAUAUGAUUUUUUGAAUGUGAAUUUGGAUGUGGAUGUAGAUGUAGAUAUGGAUGUGGAUGUAUUUUUAAAAAUAUUAAUAAUUUGUAUAGGAAAUAUUUAAUAAAAUAUGAUUUUAUAAAAAAUAAUUUUAUUGCGACAAUAAUAAACUGUCGCUAAUGUAAUUCUCAUUUCCUUAUAUUUUAUUAGC